ACCCGUAGAAUCGAACUUGUG
This 21-nucleotide microRNA is filed under the name Cordylochernes scorpioides. The record is from RNAcentral. Lineage: Eukaryota; Metazoa; Arthropoda; Arachnida; Pseudoscorpiones; Chernetidae.